AUUGCUUGUUAAUAGGAGGUGUAAACAGGGUCUCAGAGACAGUAAGGGGCGUUUCAUCAUGCGGUUUAUAUUUAGAUGCUGAUUGGUGGAAAAUAAGGUCCAGUUUCAGUGAAGAAGAGAAGUGUGGGUGGUUUCAACACACUAACCCUCCUCGGCAGGAAGUUUCUGUGGUCGGUCUCUGUGGUUUAGUUCUCCUCUCUUUCUCUCUCGUCUGUUUCCCACGCUGGUCUGCUGGUGAUGGAGGGUUCUGGGUUCCUCUGGGUUCUCCUGCUGUGUGGACGGGUUCUGCUGGUCAGCAGUGAGUUUCAGUGUGUGAGUGUGAAAGAGAAAGAACGUGCAACUCUUCCCUGUGGAAAACUCACUAAAGGUAAAGUGACCUGGAGCAGAGAAAUCAACGGACAGAGAGAGAGCAUUCUGACCACUCACAACGGAGAGAUAACCCAAAAGGUCUCUGAUCCAGACAGAUGUUACAGUUCAGGAGCUAAUAUAGUACUGAUUAUACAGAAAGUCUCACAGUCAGACGCUGGAAGAUACAACUGUAAUGAAUCUACAGUGGAACUGAUCGUGAAUGGAAUCUGCACAGUCAGCUCAAUCACAUCUGCGACAACUAAAGCAUCAACUACGCAAACAACAAUAUUUACAACCAGAUCCAAUACAUCUACAACUGCAACACCAACUACGCAAUCGAAAAAAUCGUCCACCAGAUCCAACACAUCUACAACAUCAACUAAGCAAUCAACAAAAUCCUUAAUCACAUCCACCAUGUCUACAACUGCAACAACAUCUACACAACCAAGAACAACUUUAACCAGUACUGUACCGGAAAACUCAACUCAAGCAGGUCUGCGGAUGGCGCUGAUCACAGCCGGAGGAUGUGUGGUUGCUGUGCUCCUGAUUGUGUUGCUAUGGAGAUGCUUCUUUAAAAGAAAAGUGAACCCUAUAGACCAAACCGAGGAGCACUUCUACGACACCAUCGCCGACACCACAGCAUCUCCACAACCGAGUGAGUUCACUAUUCUCUUUCAGUUUUUAUCAGAUUAUAUUAUUCAGAUU
Molecule: long non-coding RNA, 1053 nt
Filed under: Astyanax mexicanus (Mexican tetra)
Lineage: Eukaryota; Metazoa; Chordata; Actinopteri; Characiformes; Acestrorhamphidae
Description: lncRNA (ENSAMXG00005008746.1)
Source: RNAcentral